This 464-nucleotide ribosomal RNA is filed under the name uncultured bacterium. Its description in RNAcentral is "partial 16S ribosomal RNA". It matches the Rfam family "Bacterial small subunit ribosomal RNA", at positions 28 to 506 of the family's 1533-position model. The record is from RNAcentral.
GACGAACGCUGGCGGCACGCUUAACACAUGCAAGUCGAACGAGAGAAGAGAAGCUUGCUUUUCUGAUCUAGUGGCGGACGGGUGAGUAACACGUGAGCAAUCUGCCUUUCAGAGGGGGAUACCGAUUGGAAACGAUCGUUAAUACCGCAUAACAUAAUUGAACCGCAUGAUUUGAUUAUCAAAGAUUUAUCGCUGAAAGAUGAGCUCGCGUCUGAUUAGCUAGUUGGUAAGGUAACGGCUUACCAAGGCGACGAUCAGUAGCCGGACUGAGAGGUUGAUCGGCCACAUUGGGACUGAGACACUGCCCAGACUCCUACGGGAGGCAGCAGUGGGGAAUAUUGCACAAUGGAGGAAACUCUGAUGCAGCGAUGCCGCGUGAGGGAAGAAGGUUUUAGGAUUGUAAACCUCUGUCUUCAGGGACGAAAAAAGACGGUACCUGAGGAGGAAGCUCCGGCUAACUACGU